RNAcentral lists this unclassified non-coding RNA (266 nucleotides) under Hevea brasiliensis (rubber tree). Lineage: Eukaryota; Viridiplantae; Streptophyta; Magnoliopsida; Malpighiales; Euphorbiaceae. The record is from RNAcentral.
AAAAAAAAAAAAAAAAAAAGCUGUCUAAAGCUCUCAGUGAUCACAUACAUAACAAUGUUGAUUGAUGUAUAGUUAGCAAACACCAUAAAAACCCAAUUUGACAAUUAUAGAAACGGCUGGUGUAGCAUAUUGCAUAUAUAUUUCCUAUAAGCCAAUAUGCAUUUUAGUUAUCCUUUGAACAUCUCCAUCACGCUUGGAAGGUAAAUAUAGCAUUCUCUGAUGGAAGCAAUAAAAUUUUAAACAGCACAUGACAUAAUUGUUUUCAU